RNAcentral lists this ribosomal RNA (478 nucleotides) under uncultured bacterium. Its description in RNAcentral is "partial 16S ribosomal RNA". It matches the Rfam family "Bacterial small subunit ribosomal RNA", at positions 28 to 507 of the family's 1533-position model. The record is from RNAcentral.
GAUGAACGCUGGCGGCGUGCUUAACACAUGCAAGUCGAACGGGAAACCUUUUAUUGAAGCUUCGGCAGAUUUAGCUGGGUUCUAGUGGCGGACGGGAGAGUAACGCGUGGGUAUCCUGCCUUAUUCAGGGGGGUAACAAUCAGAAAUGGUUGCUAAUACCGCAUAAGCGCACAGGACCGCAUUUUCCGGUGUGAAAAACUCCGGUGGUGUAAGUUGGAUCCGCGUUGGAUUGGCUAGUUGGCGGGGUAACGGCCUACCAAGGCGACGGUCCAUAGCCGGCCUGUGAGGGUGAGCCGCCACAUUGAGACUGGGGCACGGCCCAGACUCCUACGGGAGGGAGCAGUGGGGAAUACUGCACAAGCGGGGAAACGCUGAUGAAGCGGGGCCGCGUGAAGGAAGAAGUAUCUCGGGAUGGAAACGUCGAUCAGCAGGGAAGAUAGUGACGGUACCUGACGAAGAAGCCCCGGCUAACUACGUG